GGGCAGACCGGUUUUUAGUUACGCUUGGCAGUUAAAAUAUUUGUGAUACACCUGAGAGUGGAAAAUAAACUUUUCUAUUCUAUUUCAAGCUUGGUAGUAUGAAUAUCUGUGGUGAAUUAGUUGUAACUCGGUCUCCUGCUUCUCUGUAAAGGUGCGCUCACAGUCAGCAGAACGUCUCUCUCGUACCUUCACAGAGAGAAACGUAGAAAGAACCGAUUUGUUCUCUGGUAGUGUUAUUUUAUUCUUUACUUUGCAAAGGACUGAGAAUGAACUUGGUUGGUUUACUCGUUGAAGAGCUUCAGUUCACAUGACUCAAGACGUCCAAGAGUGACGGCCUGUGGAAAGACGCUGUUCCUGUGUGGUCGGUGGUUUUGGUGUACAGUCCUCUGCAUAUCGGAGGGGAGGAGUUGGAACAGCUUGUGUCCAGGGUGUGAAGGCUCUGCAGUGAGUGGGAACAAUCUGACCAAGCUUCUUGUGGAGACUAGAAGCUUUAAUACACAUCAGAGAGGGAGGAGAUGAUCUGCAGCAUCCUGGUGAUCUUCAUCCUGACCUCCUGUGUCUG
Non-coding RNA from Gasterosteus aculeatus aculeatus (three-spined stickleback), 562 nucleotides. The record is from RefSeq and is a predicted model, not a curated record. Lineage: Eukaryota; Metazoa; Chordata; Actinopteri; Perciformes; Gasterosteidae.